Molecule: ribosomal RNA, 452 nt
Filed under: uncultured bacterium
Lineage: Bacteria
Description: bacterial SSU rRNA
Rfam family: Bacterial small subunit ribosomal RNA
Source: RNAcentral
AGAGUUUGAUCAUGGCUCAGAACGAACGCUGGCGGCAUGCCUAACACAUGCAAGUCGAACGAGACCUUCGGGUCUAGUGGCGCACGGGUGCGUAACGCGUGGGAACCUGCCCCUUGGUUCGGAGUAACAGUUAGAAAUGACUGCUAAUACCGGAUGAUGACUUCGGUCCAAAGAUUUAUCGCCGAGGGAUGGGCCCGCGUAGGAUUAGCUAGUUGGUGGGGUAAUGGCCUACCAAGGCGACGAUCCUUAGCUGGUCUGAGAGGAUGAUCAGCCACACUGGGACUGAGACACGGCCCAGACUCCUACGGGAGGCAGCAGUGGGGAAUAUUGGACAAUGGGCGAAAGCCUGAUCCAGCAAUGCCGCGUGAGUGAUGAAGGCCUUAGGGUUGUAAAGCUCUUUACCCGGGAUGAUAAUGACAGUACCGGGAGAAUAAGCUCCGGCUAACUCCGUG